UCUCUCUUAGUACAGUGGUAAUUAUGUCGGCUUGUCGCGCCGAUGACGCAAGUUCGAUUCUCGUAGAGAGAA
RNAcentral lists this transfer RNA (72 nucleotides) under Melanomma pulvis-pyrius CBS 109.77. It matches the Rfam family "tRNA". Rfam says of the family: Transfer RNA (tRNA) molecules are approximately 80 nucleotides in length. Lineage: Eukaryota; Fungi; Ascomycota; Dothideomycetes; Pleosporales; Melanommataceae. The record is from Rfam by way of RNAcentral.